GAUGAACGCUGGCGGCGUGCCUAAUACAUGCAAGUCGAGCGAACGGACGCGAAGCUUGCUUUUCUGAUGUUAGCGGCGGACGGGUGUGUCACACGUGUAUAACCUCCCUAUAUGACUGGGAUAACUUCGGGAAACCGGAGCUAAUACCGGAUAAUAUUUUGAACCGCAUGGUUCAAAAGUGAAAGACGGUCUUGCUGUCACUUAUAGAUGGAUCCGCGCUGCAUUAGCUAGUUGGUAAGGUAACGGCUUACCAAGGCAACGAUGCGUAGCCGACCGGAGAGGCUGAUCGGCGACACUGGAACUGAGACACGGUCCAGAGUCCUACGGGAGGCAGCAGUAGGGAAUCUGACGCAAUGGGCGAAAGCCUGACGGAGCAACGCCGCGUGAGUGAUGGAGGUGUUCGGAGCGUAAAACUCUGUUACUAGGGAAGAACAGAUGUGUCAGUAACUGUGCACAUCGUGACGGUACCUAAUAAGAAAGCCACGGCUAACUACGUG
RNAcentral lists this ribosomal RNA (497 nucleotides) under uncultured bacterium. Its description in RNAcentral is "partial 16S ribosomal RNA". It matches the Rfam family "Bacterial small subunit ribosomal RNA", at positions 28 to 507 of the family's 1533-position model. The record is from RNAcentral.